Molecule: ribosomal RNA, 638 nt
Filed under: Anhydrophryne rattrayi (hogsback frog)
Lineage: Eukaryota; Metazoa; Chordata; Amphibia; Anura; Pyxicephalidae
Description: partial 12S small subunit ribosomal RNA
Rfam family: Bacterial small subunit ribosomal RNA
Source: RNAcentral
CAGUCUAAGGAGCCGGCAUCAGGCACAGAUUUCUAGCCCAUAACACCUAGUUUUACCACACCCUCAAGGGCACCCAGCAGUGACAAAUAUUGUUCAUAAGCGUCAGCUUGACCCAGUAAAAGAAAUUUAGGGCCGGCUAACCCGGUGCCAGCCGCCGCGGCUACACCAGCGGGCUCAAGUUGAUAAUCAUCGGCGUUAAGCGUGAUUAAAGAAAUUCUGAAUUAGAAUUAAAUUUAAACUUAGCUGUAAUAAGCUCGUUAUUUAGAAAUACAAAACGAAAGUUAUUCUAUUUUGCUUGAAUACACRACAGCCAGGGAACAAACUGGGAUUARAUACCCCACUAUGCCUUGCCGUAAAAUAUUUACUUACAUCAACCACSCCCGGGUAUUACRAGCCUAAGCUUAAAACCCAAAGGACUUGACGGKGUCCCAUCCAUCUARAGRAGCCKGUUCUAUAAUCRAUAUUCCCCGCUAUACCUCACCAUUUCUAGCCUUCCAGCCKGUAUACCUCCGUCGCAAGCUUACCAUGUGAACGUUACUAGUAAGCUCAAUGAUCCAUCAUCAAUACGUCAGGUCAAGGUGCAGCUCACGCAAUGGAAAGCAAUGGGCUACAAUUUCUAACAUAGAACUACGAAAAAA